UGGCGAGAAAAUUAAAUGUUUGUGAAUUGCCCCAGAUCUACUAGAUUUAAUCAACCUAGCAACACAUUCAGUAUAAUAGGCAAGAUAAUAGGCGAGAUAAGGAGAGAGAAGAUGCCCACUACAGGUUCACAAUGGUGGAUAGAGGUACCACAGCAGCAAGUCCUCAUGUUUUAAUGGGAGAUGCAGCUUUCCCUCUACAUGAUAGUCUACCUGGAUAAGGGCGCAUGAGGCUAUAUACACAAAGUUUGGGGAAGGCCCUUUCCUGUUUCAGCAUGACAAUGCCCCCGUGCACAAAGCGAGGUCAAUACUGUGGAAGGACCACCAGAGGGCAGGCUGGGCUCACGGAUAGUAGCCCAACAAGGCAUGGGAGACAUGGUAACCAGAGUCAAUUAAGCACAGCUCACGGUACUAAUGACAUAUUCUCCUUCCCCUAUAAGAGAGAGUAUGGAACCAGCAGAGAGGGGAGGACACUAUCUCUGGAAGAUGGCCACCGAGACAGAGGAGCUAUCCAUGAAGAACCACUAAGACGGUGACAAGCCCGUGACUUUUGUUGUAGUUUAAAGAUAAUCAUAUUGUGUUCCUGUUUCAUCUGGAGAAGAAGAUGUAUGUUUUUCCUUGGGAGAUUUUCAUUGAUUAUGUUGGAGUGUUUGUGUUGACCAAAUGCCCUCAAUAGAGAACUGUGUUC
This is a long non-coding RNA of Oncorhynchus masou masou (cherry salmon), 685 nucleotides long. RefSeq lists it as uncharacterized. The record is from RefSeq and is a predicted model, not a curated record. Lineage: Eukaryota; Metazoa; Chordata; Actinopteri; Salmoniformes; Salmonidae. The transcript has 3 exons.